RNAcentral lists this long non-coding RNA (299 nucleotides) under Calidris pugnax (ruff). RNAcentral describes it as "lncRNA (ENSCPUG00000014078.1)". The record is from RNAcentral. Lineage: Eukaryota; Metazoa; Chordata; Aves; Charadriiformes; Scolopacidae.
AUACAGCAACGUGAGUGGGUUGAGAAGCCUCCAGGAGUGCUUGGAGUGCCCCCCCGGCCUGUAUUGUGAUGGGACAAACAACCAAGCUCCCUCAGGACUGUGUGAACCUGGCUACUUCUGUACAGGAGGUGCCAAAAGUGCUCUUCAGCAAGUGGUGAUGGAGGGACAUUAUUCCUUAACAGGAGCUUUCAAGCCAGAGCCGUGUCCUCUUGGCAGCUUCCAGCCUGGCCGUGGUCAGUCUCUUUGUAGGGAGUGUCCAGAGGGUACAUUCUGCAAUGAGACAGGCCUGGCUGCACCCC